UACGGGGGGGGCAAGCGUUGUUCGGAAUUACUGGGCGUAAAGGGUUUGUAGGUGGCUUGUUAAGUCAGACGUGAAAUCCCUCAGCUUAACUGGGGAACUGCGUCUGAUACUGGCGAGCUUGAGUGCAGGAGAGGAACGCGGAAUUCCAGGUGUAGCGGUGAAAUGCGUAGAUAUCUGGAGGAACACCGGUGGCGAAGGCGGCAUCCUGGACCAACACUGACGCUGAGUGAGCGAAAGCCAGGGGAGCAAACGGG
Molecule: ribosomal RNA, 254 nt
Filed under: uncultured bacterium
Lineage: Bacteria
Description: partial 16S ribosomal RNA
Rfam family: Bacterial small subunit ribosomal RNA
Source: RNAcentral